CGGGGCGUGGCGCAGCCCGGUAGCGCACCACACUGGGGGUGUGGGGGUCGCUGGUUCAAAUCCAGUCGCCCCGACCA
This 77-nucleotide transfer RNA is filed under the name bacterium. Its description in RNAcentral is "tRNA-Pro". It matches the Rfam family "tRNA". Rfam says of the family: Transfer RNA (tRNA) molecules are approximately 80 nucleotides in length. Their secondary structure includes four short double-helical elements and three loops (D, anti-codon, and T loops). RNAcentral also lists the same sequence under 1 other name. The record is from RNAcentral.